AUGCUGAAGCAAUCCUCCAGCCUCAGCCUCUUGGGCAGGGGCUCUGGUUGCUCUACGUUGUGUCCUCUGGCUCUUCAGGCCAAACAGACAGCAUUUUCCACUGGACUUUCAGCAGCCCUGGACAAGGCCACAGCUGCAACCUGCCCUCUGGAUUGCUAGCAGCAGAGUCAAUCUGAAGUUCUAACUACCCUGGUCAUAUAUUUGGCUGGCCGUGGCUGAUGAAGCAGAAAGGAUAGGGCAGGAGUACUUGGCUGAUGCGUAGCCAACACGUCUUCUCAUGAUCAAAAACUAAAAAGGUGGGAACAAAAGAAGCUUCCAAUCCUUCUGGCUUUCUUCCCAAAGCCAGGAGGCAGCUCCUGAGUGGUGGAUUUUGGAUUAUAGGUGAUGCUCCCAGCAAAGGGCCUGGCCCAGAGGAAUGCUCAAGAGUAGGAUGAAAAGACUGAGGGCUUCUUCGUCUACAAAAGGAAGGGUUGGGACUGAUGGAAAUUGAAAAGUCUAGAUCUUCACAAUCCUCAACAGUUUCACCACCAAUGCACACACAAAAUGAGUGUGCCUUGUAUUUCCAGUCCUGUGAUGAAUAUGAAAAGAGCCUCACCAUCAGGUUCCACGUCCGGAUCUGAGAACUCACAGGGAGGGCUCACCUUCCUGGUCCCAAAAUACUGCAAAAUAUAUAAUCCUUCAAUCUUAAACAUAUACAUUUUAUUGCUUUUCAUUAUACAGUUAUACAUAUUUACUAUUGAAA
This is a long non-coding RNA of Cebus imitator (Panamanian white-faced capuchin), 742 nucleotides long. RefSeq lists it as uncharacterized. The record is from RefSeq and is a predicted model, not a curated record. The transcript is spliced from 4 exons. NCBI's taxonomy places the organism in Eukaryota, Metazoa, Chordata, Mammalia, Primates, Cebidae.